RNAcentral lists this ribosomal RNA (434 nucleotides) under uncultured Lachnospiraceae bacterium. RNAcentral's name for it is "partial 16S ribosomal RNA". It matches the Rfam family "Bacterial small subunit ribosomal RNA", at positions 341 to 792 of the family's 1533-position model. The record is from RNAcentral. Lineage: Bacteria; Bacillati; Bacillota; Clostridia; Lachnospirales; Lachnospiraceae.
ACGGGAGGCAGCGGUGGGGAAUAUUGGACAAUGGGCGAAAGCCUGAUCCAGCGACGCCGCGUGAGUGAAGAAGUAUUUCGGUAUGUAAAGCUCUAUCAGCAGGGAAGAUAAUGACGGUACCUGACUAAGAAGCCCCGGCUAACUACGUGCCAGCAGCCGCGGUAAUACGUAGGGGGCAAGCGUUAUCCGGAUUUACUGGGUGUAAAGGGAGCGUAGACGGUAUGGCAAGUCUGAUGUGAAAACCCAGGGCUCAACCCUGGGACUGCAUUGGAAACUGUCAAACUAGAGUGCAGGAGAGGUAAGUGGAAUUCCUAGUGUAGCGGUGAAAUGCGUAGAUAUUAGGAGGAACACCAGUGGCGAAGGCGGCUUACUAGACUGUAAAUGACGCUGAGGCUCGAAAGCGUGGGGAGCAAACAGGAUUAGAUACCCUGGUA